This 200-nucleotide ribosomal RNA is filed under the name uncultured bacterium. RNAcentral describes it as "partial 16S ribosomal RNA". It matches the Rfam family "Bacterial small subunit ribosomal RNA", at positions 8 to 217 of the family's 1533-position model. The record is from RNAcentral.
AGAGUUUGAUCCUGGCUCAGGACUAACGCUGGCGGCGUGCCUAACACAUGCAAGUCGAACGAAGUAGCAAUACUUAGUGGCAAACGGGUGAGUAACACGUAGUCAACCUACCUUUAAGUGGGGGAUAACUAGCCGAAAGGUUAGCUAAUACCGCAUGUGAUCUCCGAGAGGCAUCUCUUGGCGAUCAAAGCAGCAAUGCG